UCAGGAUGAACGCUGGCGGCGUGCUUAACACAUGCAAGUCGAACGGAGCUUAAGGGGCUGCUCCUAAACUAGUGGCGGACGGGUGAGUAACGCGUGGGUAACCUGCCUUUCACUGGGGGAUAACAGUUAGAAAUGACUGCUAAUACCGCAUAAGCGCACAGGAUCGCAUGAUCUAGUGUGAAAAACUCCGGUGGUGAAAGAUGGACCCGCGUCUGAUUAGCCAGUUGGCAGGGUAACGGCCUACCAAAGCGACGAUCAGUAGCCGGCCUGAGAGGGUGAACGGCCACAUUGGGACUGAGACACGGCCCAAACUCCUACGGGAGGCAGCAGUGGGGAAUAUUGCACAAUGGGGGAAACCCUGAUGCAAGCGACGCCGCGUGAGUGAAGAAGUAUUUCGGUAUGUAAAGCUCUAUCAGCAGGGAAGAAAAUGACGGUACCUGACUAAGAAGCCCCGGCUAACUACGUGCCAGCAGCAGC
Molecule: ribosomal RNA, 477 nt
Filed under: uncultured bacterium
Lineage: Bacteria
Description: bacterial SSU rRNA
Rfam family: Bacterial small subunit ribosomal RNA
Source: RNAcentral